CCUACGGGUGGCAGCAGUGAGGAAUAUUGGUCAAUGGACGCAAGUCUGAACCAGCCAUGCCGCGUGCAGGAAGACGGCUCUAUGAGUUGUAAACUGCUUUUGUACGAGGGUAAACGCAGAUACGCGUAUCUGUCUGAAAGUAUCGUACGAAUAAGGAUCGGCUAACUUCGUGCCAGCAGCCGCGGUAAUACGGAGGAUUCAAGCGUUAUCCGGAUUUAUUGGGUUUAAAGGGUGCGUAGGCGGUCGGAUAAGUUAGAGGUGAAAGCCCGAGGCUCAACUUCGGAAUUGCCUCUGAUACUGUUGGGCUAGAGAGUAGGUGCGGAAGGCGGAAUGUAUGGUGUAGCGGUGAAAUGCUUAGAGAUCAUACAGAACACCGAUUGCGAAGGCAGCUUACCAAGCUACUUCUGACGUUGAGGCACGAAAGCGUGGGGAGCAAACAGGAUUAGAUACCCGGGUAGUC
Molecule: ribosomal RNA, 460 nt
Filed under: uncultured bacterium
Lineage: Bacteria
Description: partial 16S ribosomal RNA
Rfam family: Bacterial small subunit ribosomal RNA
Source: RNAcentral